GUACACGCUGUGACUAGCAUAUCAAUAAGCGGAGGAAAAGAAACUAACAAGGAUUUCCCCUAGUAACGGCGAGUGAAGCGGGAAGAGCUCAAAUUUGAAAUCUUAAAGGGUUUCCCUUUACGAAUUGUAGUUUAAAGAAGUGUUUUCUGUUGAGGUUUUGGUAAAAGUUCUUUGGAAUAGGACAUCAUAGAGGGUGAGAAUCCCGUAUUUGACCUUUACUUUCAACUUUGUGAUACACUUUCAAAGAGUCGGAUUGUUUGGGAAUGCAGUCCAAAAUGGGUGGUAAAUUUCAUCUAAAGCUAAAUAUUGGCGAGAGACCGAUAGCGAACAAGUACCGUGAGGGAAAGAUGAAAAGAACUUUGAAAAGAGAGUUAAACAGUACGUGAAAUUGUCAAAAGGGAAGCGUUUGACACCAGUGUUGUUUUUCUGAAAAUCAAUUAAAGAACUGUUUAUGCUAAGCUGUUUAGACUUUAUCAGCUAUCUGUUUAGUUUUGAGCUUUUCUUUAAUGCACUUUUCAGUUAACAAGUCAACAUCAAUUUCUUUUGCUAUAAAAAAGCUUGAGGAAGGUGGCUUGAGAUUCGUCUUAAGUGUUUAUAGCCUCUUGCCUAUGCAGUCGGAGAGAUUGAGGUCUGCAGCGUAGAUCCUUCGGGGCUAAAUGCAUUUGAGCUAAGUUAUAGCAUUUUAUGGACAACUUGUUGACUAUGAUUUGUCUUGUAGCUUACUCGCUUAUGUUAUUUUACCUACGCUUAGGAUGUUGACUGAUAUGUAGUCGUA
RNAcentral lists this ribosomal RNA (775 nucleotides) under uncultured Neocallimastigales. RNAcentral's name for it is "partial large subunit ribosomal RNA". It matches the Rfam family "Eukaryotic large subunit ribosomal RNA", at positions 22 to 644 of the family's 3401-position model. Lineage: Eukaryota; Fungi; Neocallimastigomycota; Neocallimastigomycetes; Neocallimastigales. The record is from RNAcentral.